UACGUAGGUGGCAAGCGUUGUCCGGAUUUACUGGGCGUAAAGAGCGCGCAGGCGGUCGUUCAAGUCGCGUGUGAAAGCCCCCGGCUCAACUGGGGAGGGUCACGCGAUACUGAUCGACUCGAAGGCAGGAGAGGGAAGCGGAAUUCCCGGUGUAGUGGUGAAAUGCGUAGAUAUCGGGAGGAACACCAGUGGCGAAGGCGGCCUGCUGGGCAGUUACUGACACUGAGGCGCGACAGCGUGGGGAGCAAACAGG
This 253-nucleotide ribosomal RNA is filed under the name uncultured bacterium. Its description in RNAcentral is "partial 16S ribosomal RNA". It matches the Rfam family "Bacterial small subunit ribosomal RNA", at positions 524 to 776 of the family's 1533-position model. The record is from RNAcentral.